GCAAACCUAUUUUCACACUCAUUUUCUGAUUUCACUGAAAAUGAAAACAACAAAUGGCCAAAGCAAACACACCCUAGUCUCCUUUUUCAGGAAUCUCUGCAUUCAUGUAAGUUUGGUGCUGUUCACACUUCACAGCAAUCAGAGAUGCUCAGACAGCGAACCUUCCAGCUAUAAACAUUCAGUAGCCUGCAAAAGGGAACACAACGUGUACCACAUAACUGGCUUCCCCAAUUUCUAAAGGAGAAAUGGAAUGAAUUGUGACCAUAAAGUUAAAUAUUAGAACCAUGAUACCUAAGCUUAGCACUACUACCAUAUCCCAUUACAGCACUUCAUCAAAAACGGGAGAUUAUUUUAGUCUGGGUUUUGAAAAUGUACAGUAAAUCUUAGAAAUUAAAAACUAACUUAGAAAUUAAAUCCUCGAAUUCCAACAUAGACUUUAGACCUUUGAAUUGCAAAUCAAUUGCAAUAAUAACAAUGGUUAAGCAUUAUUAUGCUAAUUCCUAAAGUCAUACAUCUUUCCAGCAUCUCCCUUUCUAGAGCCCAAUCCCAAUUAUUAUCUUUCCAACCACAAGUAACAGUUCAUAUACAGAUCAGUUUAAAUAUGAAAGAGAGACAGCGGAUCCAGGUAGACUUGAACCACCAUCCUCCCAUACUUUAACCGUUGGGCGCUCUUUCCAAUUUGAGCCUAUGGAUCCAUCAUUGCGGAGAGUAGUUUAUCAGAGGGGAAUUUUUAUAUCAAAUGAAAAAUUCAAUGACAACCAAAAACUUAUCCAACAAAAUUAAGAAACAGGUGCAUAAAGUGGCAAACUUGUGCUUGGUUCUAUCAUCAUUCUGCAGAAAGAUCAAGUUAAUUCACACAAUGCAGUUUCCAGUUACUACAUUAUGGAUUAAAACUUCAGAUUUCAGUUUAAAUUGUGAAUACUUCCAUAACAUACCGUUUAUUACUGGUCACACUACUUACUAGAUUGAAACAGAACUACGAAUGGGCUGAAUCUAGAAGCCGAACUGGUCGGCUCCCUAAAGUUAAUCUCACGGAAAUCCUAUAACUACAGUCUCUUACAUUAUGUUAAGGAAAACCACAAAGCAGGGCGCUAACCUUCACAAGUAUCAAAAGGCACCGAACAUUCUCUAGCAAAUAGAACUAUAAAAUAUAUUUGCAUAUAGAACUAAAAAAAUUAUUUUCCAAAUCAGUACCAACACAAACCGAAUAUUCUCUAGCAAAUAGAACUAUAAAAUCUAAUUGCAUAUAGAACUAGAAAAUUUAUUUUCCAACAUGAAUGAAAAAAAUAAACACACUGAGCAGAGGUUAAUGCCACGCUCCAAAGAACACUAAAGAACAAAGGAUGAAAUUCACUAACAAUAACUGAGGUUUUAAACAUUAGCGAACUUCAGGACUAUCUCAAUAUGACACCACUUUCCAAGUGCAGAAAAUUAAACCUUGAGUAGAAAUACGACAUUCCCAAUAAUUUUGGGACAACAAGAAUUAAAUUACUGACAAUCACUAAGGUUAUAAACAGCAGGUCGGAACUAUCUCAGGAUACAGCAAGACAUGGUCGUUACAGGAAUAAAAUAAUCAUCACAGGAAUAAAGGAAUCGUCACAGGAAUAAAGGAAUCAUCAUGAUGCGGAAGACAAAGCAAAAAUAUCCCGGGAAAACCACAGCAAUCACUCGGUAUAAAAACGAGUGAAUGAAUAUAGACCUACAAACAAGAAAUAGUUAGAAUUAGUGACUAUUUUAAUCACGGAAAACAGUAAAAGGUGACUCCGUGAAAAUAAAUCACCAACUAAACCUAAAAGGAGAAAAAAUGUAUCAACUAACAAUAUAAGAAUUUUAUACUCUUUCAGCACAUUAUCCACCAUUCAUUUUUCAGUAACUACGCAUAAAUGAUGGAGGACUGCAUAAAUUUUUAUGUGACAUUGCAUAAAUAUUACAGUCAACAUUAAAUAGUCGGAAUAAAAAAUUAUGUCAUCUAGAAUAACAACAUAAAAAUCUGUUUAUGGGAAACAAUACAAGGAAACCAACCAUGCCAAACAGCGUAUCCUAGUGUGUAAGCAUCUCAAUGCUAACCUCUUAAAAUGUAUAACUAAACAAUGACAAGUAUAAAGAGAACCAUCACUACGAACUAAACACUAACCCUUUAAUAAUAGAAGCAAAACGUGCAACUCUGCAGUUAAGCUCCUCAAUACCUACAGAGAGUUUUGUUUAGCAAGGGGUCCAACACUGCAGAAAAGAGCCUGCAAAAAUUGAAGAAAAGAAUAACGCCAAUAUCCAGUUAUCAACCUGUAUAAUUCAUUAAAGAUCAAAGUAAGUACCUCAAAACAAAGACAAUGGAAAACCUUACUAGCUAGGCAGAACUGUUGCACAGCUACAUGGAUCCUCGAGGAAGCAUAAGUCACCAGUAAAACGUCUUUACGAUGAUACAUUCCAUGUUGCACAAAAGGUGCACAAUUCUUACAGGUGAAAGGCUGGUAUUGAUGAAUAGAAAACUGCACAUACAACAAUACUUGAUGCCUUGGUAUAAAGUCUUACUCGCUGCCACUAAUACUGGAGGGCAGCCUUUAUAAACAUUUGACAAGGUAAACCCUUACAUAUAACCCCAAAAGACCCAAGUACAAAUGCUUAAUAGGGAUAAUAUAAUACAGUGGCUGGCCAUUGUCAACCCAACUCAUACUGGUAUAAUACUAGAAUACAUGAUAUAUUCAUUACAAUAUUGAUGAAAUGUAGGCAACUAAGACAUUGGUUAAUAUAUGCAUAUAAUGAAUUGGUAAAUAAAAUAGACUUUGCUUAAAAUACUACUGAAGUAUUGCUGGAAAAUUGCAAAAAUAUAAUGGCAUAUGAGUUCUUGAUAGACAUUUUAGGCAUUUGCAAUUUAAUAUGUGUUUAAGAAAUUUUACAUAACCCCAUUGAUUCCGGGACAAUAGAGUUGCAUGUUUCAAGUUGAUCAAAAAUUUCACUGAUUUUAGUGCAGUCUUGCUUUUCAAGAGAAACCCAAAAGUGACCAAGAGCUCAACAUCUUCCAUGGAAUAUAUAAUGUCACCAAAGCCAGUGAGUUAUCCUUCAUAUAUGGCAUUAUAAUCUCCUUUAGUUUGAGCCAUUUGGAUGUCUUAGAGUAGGACAUAGUUCAACUGUAAUACAUGUGUAGAUUUAAAUAAACCAAUCAAUGUUACUGUGAUGUCCAAUCUAAAUUAAAGUGUUCAUAAGCUGUUGAAGAUCAAUGGUUAAAAUCAAGAAUCUAUCUGAGAAGGCCGAGUGCAAACCGCAAAAUAAUACUAACACAUGUGAGGGAUAAUAUAUAUACAUAUCUUAAUAUAUAGUUGGGCUGCAUUGGAAGACAAAAGCUGUUUCUGAAAUAAUCUGAGUCGCUUGGUAGAUGGAUUAAAAAUGUGAGCCUGGUGAGAAGCUGAUUCCCAUACCAGACAUUACUCCCUGGAGAACUACCUCAUAACUUCAUGAUUUAAUAUUAAUUGUUGUAGACAUAAGCUUAUCAUGUUCAGAAUCAUUAACUUAAAAUUAACCAUUUAUGGAAAUAUUGUGCAUGCCAUAGAAAAUGGAACUUGUUGGUAUCAUAAGAGUUUAUUAGCCAAUAAGAAUGGUUAAAAAUGUAAUGAUAAUUAGUACUAAAAAAGAGAGCAAUAUCUAUGCCGUAAAGAUUCAUACACAAUCAUUGCAUUAUCCACCAUUCAUGUCAAUGAUGAUUGAAAAAAUGACAGUGUAAUACAUAGAUAUUUUUCUCUUCCAAAAAUCUUAGACUUAUGAGAAAUGCACUAAAAUGAAUGUGAAGUUAUGUAUUGAGAAUCAUGUACCUUCAUGUGGCAUGAAAGGUAAUUAUGACGGAGAUAGUAGAAAGAGUAUUCAACGAGGGAAGGAGAAACACAACACACCCCGCGAGGGGAGAGUGGGGCCAAUAAAAAAAAGAAAGUGGCCGCCGAAAACUCUCCCCUCGCAACAACAAACUAAUAAUUUUAUUGAUUUUCUUUUGACCUGCCAAGCAAGCGCACCGGACAUGGCAAAGGUCUAGUAGUAACAAAAUAUAACAAUCAACGUAACAAGUACCUUACGAGUCUACGACUGUAUCAGUAUGCAUAACACGAGGUCUCUCUCACAGACAUAACUUCACACUGUAUAAGAUAAUAAUCUCCUAAAGGAUCGUACCGAUACAAUCGAAAUUAUACAAUCAAUCUCGCGUUAUUUGAACAAUUCCUUCACUAGGUGAAACCAAUUUCUCUGUUCUCGAACUAGAAGCAGAACUACUCAUCCAGAUCCAAUGUAAAAAUACAAAAUCCAUGUCGGUUAACGACGCAAUCAAGACCUGUAAAAAUUCGACAUAUUCAGAUCCAAUAAUAAGACAAGAAAUAAGAACCGGACUCGAAAAUUCGCAGAUCCAAAACUCACCUUAUCAAAAUCAAAACCAGAUCGAAGUAUUCCUCGCCUACGUCAAAUAAAUUUCUUCAUCCCUGAACGAGAACGAUUCCGUGAAAUCGAGAGCGAGAAUUCGAGCGGAUCUUGCAAAGAAUCAUCGCUUAAAACGUGAUCAAGGUUCAAUUCGCGGUGAUUUGACCGAGUCAGAUGGCGCCUAAUAGGGUUUCCCGCGAUGAGGGGGAUAUGAGGGGUUAUGGUGAUUUAUAUAGUGGAGUUUGAUGAAAAAGGUUUAACUCGCUCAUAAUACACCGUUGGUAUAGACGGUGAUAGGAAAUCGCAUCAGUUCAUUUUAAUCAAAUAAAACACUGAAUGGGUAGGUAAUGUAUUUGCGGUCACAAAGAAAGGAAGGUUCUCGAUAAACUAUAUAUUUUUGCCUCACACCGUGAGACGUGUUUCGCGUGUCGUUCUUUGAGGCCAG
Molecule: long non-coding RNA, 4837 nt
Filed under: Lupinus angustifolius (narrow-leaved blue lupine)
Lineage: Eukaryota; Viridiplantae; Streptophyta; Magnoliopsida; Fabales; Fabaceae
Description: long non-coding RNA (LANG_LNC003412)
Source: RNAcentral